UCCGGUGAUCCUGCCGGACCUGACUGCUAUCGGAUUGAUACUAAGCCAUGCGAGUCUUUGCAGUAAUGCAAGGCGGACUGCUCAGUAACACGUAGUCAACUUAACCUAUGGAUGGGUAUAACCUCGGGAAACUGAGAAUAAUUCCCAAUAGAUCAUUUAUCCUGGAAUGGUUAGUGAUUGAAAUGAUUCGUCGCCAUAGGAUAGGACUGCGGCCUAUCAGCUUGUUGGUGAGGUAAAGGCCCACCAAGGCUAUUACAGGUACGGGCUCUGAGAGAAGAAGCCCGGAGAUGGGUACUGAGACACGGACCCAGGCCCUAUGGGGCGCAGCAGGCGAGAAAACUUUGCAAUGUGCGAAAGCACGACAAGGUUAAUCCGAGUGAUUUCUGCUAAAGAAAUCUUUUGCCAGUUCUAAAAAUACUGGUGAAUAAGGGGUGGCAAGUUCUGGUGCCAGCAGCCGCGGUAAU
This 464-nucleotide ribosomal RNA is filed under the name uncultured archaeon. Its description in RNAcentral is "bacterial SSU rRNA". It matches the Rfam family "Archaeal small subunit ribosomal RNA", at positions 1 to 474 of the family's 1478-position model. The record is from RNAcentral.